UACGGAAGGCAGCAGUGGGGAAUAUUGCACAAUGGGCGCAAGCCUGAUGCAGCCAUGCCGCGUGUAUGAAGAAGGCCUUCGGGUUGUAAAGUACUUUCAGUCGUGAGGAAGGUGUUAAGGUUAAUAACCUUAGCAAUUGACGUUAGCGACAGAAGAAGCACCGGCUAACUCCGUGCCAGCAGCCGCGGUAAUACGGAGGGUGCGAGCGUUAAUCGGAAUUACUGGGCGUAAAGGGCACGCAGGCGGUUAAUUAAGUUGGAUGUGAAAUCCCCGGGCUUAACCUGGGAAUGGCAUUCAAGACUGGUUAGCUAGAGUCUUGUAGAGGGGGUAGAAUUCCAUGUGUAGCGGUGAAAUGCGUAGAGAUGUGGAGGAAUACCGGUGGCGAAGGCGGCCCCUGGACAAAGAUUGACGCUCAUGUGCGAAAGCGUGGGGAGCGAAACAGGGAUUAGAUACC
Molecule: ribosomal RNA, 454 nt
Filed under: uncultured bacterium
Lineage: Bacteria
Description: bacterial SSU rRNA
Rfam family: Bacterial small subunit ribosomal RNA
Source: RNAcentral